Molecule: long non-coding RNA, 1414 nt
Organism: Leguminivora glycinivorella
Lineage: Eukaryota; Metazoa; Arthropoda; Insecta; Lepidoptera; Tortricidae
Exons: 3
Source: RefSeq, a predicted model, not a curated record
UCUCACGCUGUUCCUCAAAGUUAAAACGCAGUAAGUCUAUAUGCAUUCCAUACAUACUUACUACAAUUUUCUUUUCAUUGAUAGACGAAGAUAUGAGUUUUUUUUUAAAGUAGUGACGAAUUAUUUAUGUCUCCUGAUUUUUAGGACACGUGUCUUCUGAUUUUAUUCAAAUUGGACCUGGCAACACUGAAAUAAUGUCAGAAUCUUUUCUUUGACAUUAUUUACAAUUUAUAUUAUUGUACAUAAUUGGUUUUUUCACUAUUCUUAAGCUAAAAAAAACACCUGUUUGUCCUCCAAAGAAUACCUUAUUGGAUUCACAGAAUGAUUGAGGAUUUGAGGGAAGCAUGUUAAGACUGUGACAAUAUGGUCUUAAGGCAGCCGGCCUCAUUGAGAACAAGAAAAUAUUCUGCUUCAUGUAGCGGUUGUUAUUUGUUAAUAUGACAUGUCUCGGCAGUGUAGUGAUCCUGUGCUUAAUUAAGGCUUCAGGCUCAAAUCAUGGUAAACCAAAAUGUAAGCGGCCGGUUGAAAAAGUAGCAGAGUCGAAAAUGGAAAUUAAUGAGCUGCAGAAGUAAAUUUUAGAAGAAUAAUUCUCUUCUUUGUUGUAUCCUUGUGGCUGAGGGACAUGACGAAUGAGGCCAUUCUUUACCAGUGCUCUUCACGCCACUCAAUCCUGGGCCCGGUGCAUGCUAGCCUGCAGUGGUCUUUGUCAGAGAUGUUAUUGUGUCUGCCCAAUGUGUGCCCAUGCUGCCACUUCUUCACUUCCUUGCCGUGUCCUGUGAUUAUGGGAAUAAUAUGCAAAUAAAAACCAACAAUGGGCCAUCGAAGAACAGGAGAGGGCAUGUGGGCCUUAGAGAAAGAGUUGUUAAUGUGAAGACUAAAUAAAUUCAACAAAUAAAAUCUCAACUAUAAUACUGUCUUUGGUACACCCGCUACCAUCGCGUCAAAUAGUGAAAGUGCAGUUCAGUGUAAGCAAAGACAGUGUACAAGAUAUACCACUCACCUAUGGCAUUAGUGUUACUAGACCACAUUAAUACAUAAAGACUAUUUUUCUAAACUUGUCCAAAAAUUUUAUUAAAAAGGUGUCGGAACGCCUUCUCGGGGGACCAAAUAGCGGGUUCCUUCUUUGCUCAGAGGUUGAGUCUGGCGGUGCAAAGGGGAAACGCCGCAAGCAUUCUUGGGUCUAUGCCGGAGGCAGGGGAUCUGAGGGGGUUUUUUAUAUUUAGUUAUAACCUGCUUGUGUUAGUUUUAGUCUUUAGGGUUUUAAGAUUUAAUUAUAAGAUUAAAUAUAUUGUUCGUAGUUGUUGUUGAAUAAGCAGUGUUUGUGUGUCUGACUAACGAAAAUAUAAAUUCAGAUUCUAAACGUCUAAACUUGUGUAUAGCUCUGUGUUGUCUUAAUAAAUCCUAUUGGAAACGC